AUUCCUUAGUCCUGCUUUAAAUUCUACCAUUUAAAAAACGAAUAUAGUGAUAAGUAACCUGGGGUUGGAUUGUGAUACAGGGAGCUCUGACACCUUGCCAGUGGGAUACGACCUUUCUGGAAGGAAAUAUAGAACGAAUGCAGAGCUUAGAGAAUACUCAUGACCCCGUAGUUCAUGCGUGUGUGUACACAUGCUGUGAAGAUUAACAGAGGUUCCAGGUGGUUGGAGACAAGUGUAAUAGGAUGUGAACAGGGUUGUUCCCUGGGCCCUGGCUAAGUUCCAAAGCUGUGCACAGAGGGUGGUUCCUCCCAUCUCAGGUCCUCUCUCUUCACAUCCCAACUAAAUGGCUCUGCUGAAGAAAGACUCAAGGUUUUGCUGAAAUACCCUUGCAGAAAACCUCCUCGGAACAUGGACCUACAUUUUCAGAAGGAAUUGGCAUGGUAAGGCAACACCAUUUGUUUUUCCCCCCACUUUUACUGAGAUAUAAUUGACAUAUAACAUUGUAUAAGAUUUAGGUAUACAACAUAAUGAUUUUAUUUAUGUGUAUGU
Camelus dromedarius (Arabian camel) is the source of this 549-nucleotide long non-coding RNA. RefSeq lists it as uncharacterized. NCBI's taxonomy places the organism in Eukaryota, Metazoa, Chordata, Mammalia, Artiodactyla, Camelidae. The transcript is spliced from 3 exons. The record is from RefSeq and is a predicted model, not a curated record.